Molecule: ribosomal RNA, 497 nt
Filed under: uncultured bacterium
Lineage: Bacteria
Description: partial 16S ribosomal RNA
Rfam family: Bacterial small subunit ribosomal RNA
Source: RNAcentral
GAUGAACGCUGGCGGCGUGCCUAAUACAUGCAAGUCGAGCGAACAGACGAGGAGCUUGCUCCUCUGACGUUAGCGGCGGACGGGUGAGUAACACGUGGAUAACCUACCUAUAAGACUGGGAUAACUUCGGGAAACCGGAGCUAAUACCGGAUAACAUGUUGAACCGCAUGGUUUAACAGUGAAAGACGGUCUUGCUGUCACUUAUAGAUGGAUCCGCGCCGCAUUAGCUAGUUGGUAAGGUAACGGCUUACCAAGGCAACGAUGCGUAGCCGACCUGAGAGGGUGAUCGGCCACACUGGAACUGAGACACGGUCCAGACCCCUACGGGAGGCAGCAGUAGGGAAUCUUCCGCAAUGGGCGAAAGCCUGACGGAGCAACGCCGCGUGAGUGAAGAAGGUCUUCGGAUCGUAAAACUCUGUUAUUAGGGAAGAACAAAUGUGUAAGUAACUAUGCACGUCUUGACGGUACCUAAUCAGAAAGCCACGGCUAACUACGUG